CACGUAGGGCGCAAGCGUUGUCCGGAAUUAUUGGGCGUAAAGAGCUCGUAGGUGGUUUGUCGCGUUGUUCGUGAAAACUCACGGCUUAACUGUGAGCGUGCGGGCGAUACGGGCAGACUGGAGUACUGCAGGGGAGACUGGAAUUCCUGGUGUAGCGGUGGAAUGCGCAGAUAUCAGGAGGAACACCGGUGGCGAAGGCGGGUCUCUGGGCAGUAACUGACGCUGAGGAGCGAAAGCGUGGGGAGCGAACAGG
RNAcentral lists this ribosomal RNA (253 nucleotides) under uncultured bacterium. RNAcentral's name for it is "partial 16S ribosomal RNA". It matches the Rfam family "Bacterial small subunit ribosomal RNA", at positions 524 to 776 of the family's 1533-position model. The record is from RNAcentral.